Molecule: unclassified non-coding RNA, 297 nt
Filed under: Hevea brasiliensis (rubber tree)
Lineage: Eukaryota; Viridiplantae; Streptophyta; Magnoliopsida; Malpighiales; Euphorbiaceae
Source: RNAcentral
GGCGAAGUUUCCUAUUAGGCUAUUACUUGUCACCUCUUCUUCAACAAUCCCUUCAUAUAUUCACUUAAUUCUACCAAAGUUGUCUGUUUUUUCACUUCUCUGAAUAUGGGGCUUUGGGAUUCUUUGCUCAAUUGGCUUAGAAGCCUUUUUUUUAAACAGGAAAUGGAGCUUUCCCUGGUAGGUCUUCAAAAUGCUGGGAAGACGUCUCUUGUCAAUGCUAUUGCUACUGGAGGCUAUAGCGAGGACAUGAUUCCGACGGUUGGAUUCAAUAUGCGGAAAGUUACAAAAGGAAAUGUG